GGAAAAUGAUAUUUUUAACUUCAGAUUUGCAUUGCACGUCAAAACUGAUUGCUUAGUCAUUACAGAACUCUAUUAUCAAAAUUCUGUGAAGGUAGUGAUUAUUUUUAUUUGGUUUUCUGUACCUGGGUCCAGCAGGGGGCCGAGGGGAAGCAGCGCCCACCCUUCUGCAGUCGCACAAGGCGGGAUGGAGAGCUGGGGUGCACAGAGGGUGUCUGUCAGAGGAGUGAUGCUGCUGUGGGCUGGGAGGAAAAGGAGAGUUCAGCGACGUCCUGAGGCUCAGAAUGGCAGUGAACUACCAUGAGGACAAGGAGUAAAAGGUGUUCAUAUAGCCAUUGUACAAAGUACAAAGCAUCUAGCCAUUAACGAAGCAUCUCCAGUGACAUAUUGUCCUAACCUCUGAAUAUUGCUAAGGUGAAUUCCUAUCCCUGGCUGACAUUUAUAUUAAACUAUUUGCAGUAUGUAUUCCUGAAUAAAAGUCCUGAAUAAAAUCA
RNAcentral lists this long non-coding RNA (491 nucleotides) under Anser brachyrhynchus (Pink-footed goose). RNAcentral describes it as "lncRNA (ENSABRG00000005199.1)". Lineage: Eukaryota; Metazoa; Chordata; Aves; Anseriformes; Anatidae. The record is from RNAcentral.